This 253-nucleotide ribosomal RNA is filed under the name uncultured bacterium. RNAcentral describes it as "partial 16S ribosomal RNA". It matches the Rfam family "Bacterial small subunit ribosomal RNA", at positions 524 to 776 of the family's 1533-position model. The record is from RNAcentral.
UACGAAGGGGGCUAGCGUUGCUCGGAAUCACUGGGCGUAAAGGGCGCGUAGGCGGCCGGCCAAGUCGGGGGUGAAAGCCCGGGGCUCAACCUCGGAAUUGCCUUCGAUACUGGACAUCUUGAGUACGGGAGAGGUGAGUGGAACUCCGGGUGUAGAGGUGAAAUUCGUAGAUAUUCGGAAGAACACCAGUGGCGAAGGCGACUCACUGGCCCGUUACUGACGCUGAGGCGCGAAAGCGAGGGGAGCAAACAGG